Molecule: ribosomal RNA, 792 nt
Filed under: uncultured bacterium
Lineage: Bacteria
Description: bacterial SSU rRNA
Rfam family: Bacterial small subunit ribosomal RNA
Source: RNAcentral
GGUAGCUCAACUAUCGCAGUGCCUUUGAAACUGCCGGGCUUUGAAUGUACUUGAGGUGGGCGGAAUGUGACAAGUAGCGGUGAAAUGCAUAGAUAUGUCACAGAACCCCGAUUGCGAAGGCAGCUCACUAAAGUAUGAUUGACGCUGAUGCACGAAAGCGUGGGGAUCAAACAGGAUUAGAUACCCUGGUAGUCCACGCCCUAAACGAUGAAUACUCGAUGUUGGCGAUACACCGUCAGCGUCCACGCGAAAGCAUUAAGUAUUCCACCUGGGGAGUACGUCCGCAAGGAUGAAACUCAAAGGAAUUGACGGGGGCCCGCACAAGCGGAGGAGCAUGUGGUUUAAUUCGAUGAUACGCGAGGAACCUUACCCGGGCUUGAAAGUUAGCGAAGAUUCCAGAGAUGGGAUCGUCCUUCGGGACGCGAAACUAGGUGCUGCAUGGCUGUCGUCCGCUCGUGCCGUGAGGUGUUGGGUUAAGUCCCGCAACGAGCGCAACCCCUAUGUUUAGUUGCCAGCACGUAAUGGUGGGGACUCUAGACAGACUGCCUGUGCAACCAGAGAGGAAGGUGGGGACGACGUCAAGUCAUCAUGGCCCUUACGUCCGGGGCUACACACGUGCUACAAUGGUCGGUACAGAGGGCAGCUACCUGGCAACAGGAUGCCAAUCUCAUAAAGCCGAUCACAGUUCGGAUCGGGGUCUGCAACUCGACCCCGUGAAGUUGGAUUCGCUAGUAAUCGCAGAUCAGCAAUGCUGCGGUGAAUACGUUCCCGGGCCUUGCACACACCGCCCGU